UGCAUAGACCGACUAGUUGUUGUGGAGCACAGGCACGUGGAGCGCGCGCGCAGGGGACAUUUAGUCCCCCAUGCUUCACUAUAGUAACUAGAGGAUUUAUGAGAAUAGUUAAAACAGUGUUGAAUUUCACUGGUUAUGCGUCACGGUGGGUAAUUAAGUUGAGAACUAGUGGUUUAAAUCAUAGCUGUGCAUUUCGGAGAGGGUUAGACCAAUUGUGAGCGAGGAGAAAAGCUGGUAGUAAUGGUUAUCGGAGCUCAUCAAUUUUACUAUUCUGGAAUCAAUGGAGUAUUGUGAAUUCAUGUUCUGAAUGGGUUCCUAUCGUUGAGUGUUAUUUAGAAGAACAUUCAGAAAGGAACAACUGACCUAUCUUAAAUUCAUCCUUCAGCAACUUACCACCUUACAGAUUCCUGACACCAGGAGUUAGCAAACGCCAUUGACACACAUACGUACACACGUGAAUGACACGUGUCAGGUGACAAGCGCCUGUGUUUAUUUAGGACCUAUAUUGCGAUGGAUGCCACCAACCUAUUAUUCUGCGGUCAUGCUAGCUGUAUGAAUAGGUAGCGGUACAGGACGUCGACCUGGGAGUAUGAGCAGCAUAUCAGCCUUCACAGUUACAAAGAUGUAAGGGCGAGUCUGGAGACGAAAUGGUCCGGAUAAUUUUAAUCAUGAAUAUUCUCACUCUGAUCGAAGUGACAUGUAACCAUGGCAA
Molecule: long non-coding RNA, 712 nt
Organism: Pecten maximus
Lineage: Eukaryota; Metazoa; Mollusca; Bivalvia; Pectinida; Pectinidae
Exons: 3
Source: RefSeq, a predicted model, not a curated record